UACGUAGGGUGAGAGCGUUGUCCGGAAUUAUUGGGCGUAAAGAGCGUGUAGGCGGUUUGGUAGGUCCGUUGUGAAAACUCGAGGCUCAACCUCGAGACGCCGAUGGAAACCAUCAGACUAGAGUCCGGAAGAGGAGAGUGGAAUUCCUGGUGUAGCGGUGAAAUGCGCAGAUAUCAGGAAGAACACCCGUGGCUAAGGCGGCUCUCUAGUACGGUACUGACGCUGAGACGCGAAAGCGUGGGGAGCGAACAGG
Molecule: ribosomal RNA, 253 nt
Filed under: uncultured bacterium
Lineage: Bacteria
Description: partial 16S ribosomal RNA
Rfam family: Bacterial small subunit ribosomal RNA
Source: RNAcentral